CGGCAUGCCUGCAGCGUCCGUCGCUGCGAGGAAGCUGGCUGCACAGGCGGACCUGAAUGGCCACAGGAUUCUCGCCGACAAUUCUGGCGACUUGGUUGAUGAUGAUGAUAUCCGGGAGAUAAUUGAUCUGCUCGGUGACCCUACAGUCCCCGAUCCUAUACAAAGACUCAUUGAUGAUAUCUUGAGUUCGGGUGAGACUAGUGCAGGCUAUAUGGACAAUAUCACCGUCUUCACUGAUCAGGUGCCAGUGCCGGAGGUUGUUGCCUUCUGGAAUUUCAUUGAGAACAGUGGAUUGGACGUCUCUGUCCUCGUGGACGUCCUCAACAACUUCCUGGGCAUACCCAAUUGAGAGGAAUAUUUAAGGCAUUGUUUGGAUAAAUCAAUCUUAAUACACAUAGAUUGAGAUGGAGAAUAAACACUACCACAUAAUGAGUUAUCCCAGAGGGCACUAUCACCAACGAUUUUAGGUAAACCGACUGUAAUAUGUAUCAUCGCCAGUUCUAAAAUAAAUGGGGUUGUGGGAUGUUAGAACUGGCAGUGAAGCCAUCACCGCCGGUUCCAAUCAUAAACCGGCGGUGAAAGUCAACACCGUCGGCUCUUAUAAAAAUCCAUCGGUGAAACGGUCCGAUCGGAUCGAAAUCUUUUUCAAAUCCAGUUAAGCGUGCUUGACGUCCGCACUCUCCCCUCCCCCUCCGCCACUUCUCCCUUUCUCUCCCCCAGUCCCACUUCUCUCCUCCCUCUCUCCUUAUCCUGCAAGCCCCCUCACUCCCUCCACCACCGAACCCCUCCCCCCUCCCCGUCCAUUGAGCCCCUCCUUCCCUCCCUCCCUCCCCAGCCUCCCCUCUCCUCCCCCCUUCGCUCGCCCCUCACCUCGUGCCUAAGGUGAGAAGCGGCGGCGGGGCGAGGCGUGGCGGGGCGGCCAUCGGGGCACGGAGCGGCAACGGCUAGCGAGCUCGGCGUGACAGGAUGUAGCAGUGCGGACGAAGCGGCAGCGGCGGCAAGAUCCGGGGGUGACGGCGGCGGCGAAAUCCGGUGCACUUCCCCCUCUCCCUCUCCCCCUUCCUCCCUCCCCCCCUCUCUCCCCUCUCCCUUUCCCUCCCUCCCUCCCUCUCCCAUACCCCUGCCGGACCUACCCCUCUCCCGGCCGCAUCCUGGCGGCUGCGCCCGGCCGCCCCUCUCCCACGACCCACCGGCCACCCAUUCUUCGGCGGUCCGGUGAGGAGGAGCGGCGGCCGGCUAGGAAGAACGGGUGGCCGGCAGGUCGCGAGGAGGGGCGACCGGGCGCAGCCGGCGGGAUGCGGGGCUGAGCGCGGAUUUUUUUUUAUUUUUUAAUACGGCUUCACCGUCGGUUCCAGAACUGGCAGUGAUUCUAAUCACUGUCGAAAGUCAAAUAAUUGAUCUGCUCGGUGACCCUACAGUCCCCGAUCCUAUCCAAAGACUCAUUGAUGAUAUCUUGAGUUCGGGUGAGACUAGUGCAGGCUAUAUGGACAAUAUCACCGUCUUCACUGAUCAG
Molecule: long non-coding RNA, 1513 nt
Filed under: Setaria viridis
Lineage: Eukaryota; Viridiplantae; Streptophyta; Magnoliopsida; Poales; Poaceae
Description: long non-coding RNA (SVIR_LNC007468)
Source: RNAcentral